This 254-nucleotide ribosomal RNA is filed under the name uncultured bacterium. RNAcentral's name for it is "partial 16S ribosomal RNA". It matches the Rfam family "Bacterial small subunit ribosomal RNA", at positions 524 to 776 of the family's 1533-position model. The record is from RNAcentral.
UACGUAGGGUCCGAGCGUUGUCCGGAAUUACUGGGCGUAAAGAGCUCGUAGGUGGUUUGUCGCGUUGUUCGUGAAAACUCACAGCUUAACUGUGGGCGUGCGGGCGAGUACGGGCAGACUUGAGUACUGCAGGGGAGACUGGAAUUCCUGGUGUAGCGGUGGAAUGCGCAGAUAUCAGGAGGAACACCGGUGGCGAAGGCGGGUCUCUGGGCAGUAACUGACGCUGAGGAGCGAAAGCGUGGGGAGCGAACAGG